This 488-nucleotide ribosomal RNA is filed under the name uncultured bacterium. RNAcentral describes it as "partial 16S ribosomal RNA". It matches the Rfam family "Bacterial small subunit ribosomal RNA", at positions 30 to 507 of the family's 1533-position model. The record is from RNAcentral.
AUUGAACGCUGGCGGCAUGCUUUACACAUGCAAGUCGAACGGCAGCACAGGGAGCUUGCUCCUGGGUGGCGAGUGGCGAACGGGUGAGUAAUGUAUCGGAACGUGCCUGGUAGUGGGGGAUAACUACUCGAAAGAGUGGCUAAUACCGCAUGAGAUCUUUGGAUGAAAGCGGGGGACCUUCGGGCCUUGUGCUACUGGAGCGGCCGAUAUCAGAUUAGGUUGUUGGUGGGGUAAAGGCCUACCAAGCCUGCGUUCUGUAGCUGGUCUGAGAGGACGACCAGCCACACUGGGACUGAGACACGGCCCAGACUCCUACGGGAGGCAGCAGUGGGGAAUUUUGGACAAUGGGCGCAAGCCUGAUCCAGCAAUGCCGCGUGCAGGACGAAGGCCUUCGGGUUGUAAACUGCUUUUGUACAGAACGAAAAGUCUCUGGCUAAUAUCUAGAGAUCAUGACGGUACUGUAAGAAUAAGCACCGGCUAACUACGUG